UAAUUUGCUGGGCUGCCUAUAUCGGCAUACGAGGUUGCAUUCAUCACUGGCAAUAUCUCAAUGCCAAUGUGGUCGGACCACUGAUAGGGCCACUGAGCUAGCUGGACUUUGAUCUUGCCCUCCCCCGGAAAACAAAGAUGGCUGAUUUUCCGAAUAUCGCCUGAUCGUGAUUUUGACUUCUUUGUUUAACUUUAUUGGUAUUGUAUUGUUUUAAAGUCACGAAGUGUGUGUGUGUUGUCGUGGUCUCAUGGAUCAGUGAAUCCUUUAAAGUGAUUUUACAUCUUUUAUCCUACCACGGAAUCGGAGCAUCGAUAAUUUUAAUGUAAAGUUUGAUUGACCUCAAAUUAGCAAGAUGGCAAAUUUGGGUAAUAAUCAUUACAAUAUAUAUUGUUUAUCUUGAGAAAGGUUUGCUAUAGUAGCAGUUAAUAGGAUCGACUGUAGCAUACUUACAACACAACACUGUAAAUUUUGCUUUAGCAACUUAGAACAGCUUUAUCUUUUAUUGUUUAAAAUAUUUACUAUAUUAUAGAAUAAUAGAAAUUAAGGUGCUAUCCCGUAUUUUCUGAGUAUUUAGUAUUAUUAAACUUCCAAACAAAAUCAUACUUAUAAUUUAUGCUAAAGAAUGAAAACAUACUGAAGUAUUUUCUAUAUUUUUAUUUCCUUACAACAAAAUUUAAUAAAUUGCUGUCGUAUUUUAAAUUUUUGCACGCAAAUUCGUGCGCUAAGUACUGUAUAUGUGUUUACUUAUAUUGUAAAGUCAAGAUGAUGUGUCCUCUCAUGGUUGAAUGUUUUAAAGUCCCCAUGUUUAUGAAAUAUCGUUAUUAUGCCUCAAUUUUGAUUUUAAAAUAUUCAUGUUUUCAUUUCAAAUUGCAGGUACUAAGACAGGCUUCUUAUAAACAAUAUUUAAUACCUAAUUACCUGCUUUGAGUUAUGAUAGGACAUAUUAGUUUGUAUUUCUACUAAGUAUGGUUGGAUAAGACAAUAUAUAAGCAUGUCUCAUACAACUCGGAGGUCUUUAUCCCUUCCAAUAUCUUUUAAGAAUAAUAUACAAAGACGUUUAUCAGAUAACGGUAUGUAUAAAUAUUGGUAUGAAAUGAUAACUGAUACCUUAGUGUAUUUAAUAAUACUCAGAAGAAAUUAUAUAUCUUUACAUGUCUCGUAUAGGUUUGCAUGACAUAAAGAUUUUAGGUCAAAAGAUAAACAGUUUGGAAGGGUUCAUUGCUAAUGUUUGGAACGGUUCAGUGGGCAGUCCAGAAAAACAUCUUAUUUUAAAAUGUUUUCCUAAUAAUAAAAUAAUCAUAAGUUAUAUGAUACAAAGUGAUUAGACAAAUGUAGAUAAACACAUAUAUUCAUGUGUUACCAUAGCCAAAACUGCAUGGAAAAACACAAAAUAAAACAGGUCAAUUAUAUAUAUAUAAUUAGAUAUAUUGAACAGGGUCUGAAAUUUGCAAUAUCCUGAUAUCUACAGCUAGGAUACUAAAAUUUGGUUUUGGAUAUCAAACUGUGAAUGACUUGUAUCCCGACUGGAUAUUACAAAAUUUCAAAUAUUAGAAUAAUGCUAAAUAUGUCUCCGGUGGUCUCCCAAUAGCUUUGAAUACUAUGAGUCUGACUAGGGUACUGAAAAAAGGCUCGGGAGAAUGCCCCCAGAUCCCCCUAGACUAUUUCAGUAUAGAAUACACAUUGAAAAUAUUAUAUAAACAUUCGAAACCGAAGGAAAUAAUUUUGCGCUAAUUGUCCUAAAAGUUCAAGAAUAUGGAAAUUAAUCUCUAAAAGAACACAUUUAACUUGAUUCUUGAAUCAAGAUAGAAGAUCACUAGGGCCCCAAAUGUUACAUUUGGCAUGGGUCCUCAAAUUGCUCUGUAUGGCCCUGCUGGCACUGUUAAAGUUGUAAUGGACCAUUCCAGAAAACAUCGUCACUUCAUCCUAAUUUCCCUCAGCCUAACUAUAGGUUUUACUAUUUCCAAAGGUCAAUUUUCCCCCUCUAGACAGCAUAAGUUUCCUCUGUAGGUGGAGUGUGGUCUUUUUCUUGAAUGACCCAAUAUACAUACAGUUUGUUCAGUCACAACAAAGAUAUUUGGGAUAUUAGAUAGCCAGGGAUAAAAACAGUCAUCAUGUAUAUAUGAACAAAGAAAUUCCCACUUUGACUGAGGUGAGCUUCCUGUGCACUGGGCUCAUAUCAACAAGCCAUUAACCUAUUGAGCCGUGUAUACAGUGCGCUCUACUAUAUUUUUUUACUUGUCUAACACCAGACAAUUUUACUCGUCAAUGGGAGAAGCUUGCAGCUUAGUAGGUUAAACAAAUAAUCUGAAAAUGUCUCUAGUUAAUCCAUUGAUCGAGCCGCAAUAUGCCCCAGUGCACCUUACUUAUUUUCUUUAUUUGUCUAAUGCCAGACGAUUUUACUUGUCAAUGGGCAAGUUCUGCAGCUUUAAAGUGGUUAAUCAGUUAUGGGUGCAUAACUUAAAACUUUUUUCAUGCUUGUAGUGAAUGGUGCAACUGAAUAUGAAGAUGAUGUAAAUGAAUUUGCCAAUACUCCAUCCACACCAUCAACACCAGGUUUGUUAAAUUUGUGUGAAAUAAUUUUUAGCUAAGGGCUGGUUCAUAUGAAGGGCAUGUUCGUAUGACCCAGGCUGGCCUGGUAAGCCGGGCUGGCUUGCUUUGCCGGGCUAAGUUGUUAUUUGUUUCACAUGCAUGAGGAAGGCUGGCCUGGUUCCCAU
This 2714-nucleotide long non-coding RNA is filed under the name Paramuricea clavata. Lineage: Eukaryota; Metazoa; Cnidaria; Anthozoa; Malacalcyonacea; Plexauridae. The record is from RNAcentral.